Molecule: small nuclear RNA, 147 nt
Organism: Malaclemys terrapin pileata
Lineage: Eukaryota; Metazoa; Chordata; Testudines; Emydidae
Product: U4 spliceosomal RNA
Exons: 1
Source: RefSeq, a predicted model, not a curated record
AACUUUGCGCAGUGGCAGUAUCGUAGCCAAUGAGGUUAAUCCGAGGCGCGAUUAUUGCUAGUUGAAAACGUUUCCUUUCUCCCAUCCUUUGUCUGAUUUUAGAUUGCAAGCUCUAGGUCAGGGAUUCUCUCUUGCGAUACAUUUGUA